RNAcentral lists this transfer RNA (76 nucleotides) under Halobacteriales archaeon SW_12_71_31. Its description in RNAcentral is "tRNA-Met". It matches the Rfam family "tRNA". Rfam says of the family: Transfer RNA (tRNA) molecules are approximately 80 nucleotides in length. Their secondary structure includes four short double-helical elements and three loops (D, anti-codon, and T loops). Lineage: Archaea; Methanobacteriati; Methanobacteriota; Halobacteria; Halobacteriales. The record is from RNAcentral.
GGGCCCUUAGCUUAGUCUGGUCUAAAGCUGCGGGCUCAUAACCCGCCGAGCGCUGGUUCGAAUCCGGCAGGGCCCA